AGAGUUUGAUCCUGGCUCAGAACGAACGCUGGCGGCAGGCCUAACACAUGCAAGUCGAACGCCCCGCAAGGGGAGUGGCAGACGGGUGAGUAACGCGUGGGAAUUUCCCCCAAGGUUCGGAAUAACUGAGGGAAACUUCAGCUAAUACCGAAUGGUACCGAGAGGUUAAAGAUUUAUCGCCUUGGGAUGAGCCCGCGUCGGAUUAGCUAGUUGGUGAGGUAACGGCUCACCAAGGCUGUGAUCCAUAGCUGGUCUGAGAGGACGACCAGCCACACUGGGACUGAGACACGGCCCAGACUCCUACGGGAGGCAGCAGUGGGGAAUCUUGGACAAUGGGCGCAAGCCUGAUCCAGCCAUGCCGCGUGGGCGAUGAAGGUCUUCGGAUUGUAAAACCCUUUUGGCGGGGACGAUAAUGACGGUACCCGCUAGAAUAAGU
This 436-nucleotide ribosomal RNA is filed under the name uncultured Prosthecomicrobium sp. RNAcentral describes it as "bacterial SSU rRNA". It matches the Rfam family "Bacterial small subunit ribosomal RNA", at positions 8 to 491 of the family's 1533-position model. Lineage: Bacteria; Pseudomonadati; Pseudomonadota; Alphaproteobacteria; Hyphomicrobiales; Kaistiaceae. The record is from RNAcentral.